Small nuclear RNA from Erinaceus europaeus (western European hedgehog), 108 nucleotides. The record is from Ensembl. NCBI's taxonomy places the organism in Eukaryota, Metazoa, Chordata, Mammalia, Eulipotyphla, Erinaceidae.
ACUCUCACAUUGGCAGCAUGUGUACUAAAACUGGAGUGAUCGAGAGAUUAAUUAGCGUGGCCCCUGCACAAGGGUGACAAGCAGAUUCAUGAAGAGCUCCCUAUUUCU